ACACAUGCAAGUCGAACGCAAAGCGUGCCUACGGGCGCGUGGCGCGUGGCGAACGGGUGCGUAACACGUAGCUGACCUGCCCCAAAGACGGGAAUAACGCACGGAAACGUGUGCUAAUGCCCGAUAAGCUCCCCGCGGUUAGAGAGCGGAGAGAAAAGCUGAGGCGCUUUGGGAUGGGGCUGCGGUCCAUCAGCUAGAUGGUGAGGUAACGGCUCACCAUGGCGACGACGGAUAGGGGACCUGAGAGGGUGACCCCCCACACUGGAACUGAGACACGGUCCAGACUCCUACGGGAGGCAGCAGUGAGGGAUAUUGCGCAAUGGGCGAAAGCCUGACGCAGCGACGCCGCGUGGAUGAUGAAGGUCUUCGGAUCGUAAAGUCCUUUUCUGCGUGACGAGAAAGGACGGUAGCGCAGGAAGAAGUCUCGGCUAACUACGUGCCAGCAGCCGCGGUAAAACGUAGGAGGCAAGCGUUAUCCGGAGUUACUGGGCGUAAAGCGCGUGUAGGCGGUUCGGCAGGUCUGAUGUGAAAGCUCCCAGGCUAAACCGGGAGAGGUCAUUGGAAACCGUCGAGCUAGAGGACGGCAGAGGGGCAUGGAAUUCCGGGUGUAGUGGUGAAAUGCGUAGAGAUCCGGAGGAACACCAGUGGCGAAGGCGGUGCCCUGGGCCGACCCUGACGCUGAGACGCGAAAGCAUGGGGAGCGAGCGGGAUUAGAAACCCCGGUAGUCCAUGCUGUAAACGAUGCACACUGGGUGUUCGUGGCGGGAAACCGCUGGGAGUGCCGAAGCCAACGCGGUAAGUGUGCCGCCUGGGGAGUACGGUCGCAAGGCUAAAACUCAAAGGAAUUGACGGGGGCCCGCACAAGCAGCGGAGCGUGUGGUUUAAUUCGAAGCUACGCGAAGAACCUUACCCAGGUUUGACAUCCCGUGAACGACCGCGAAAGCGGAAGGGUCCUUCGGGACACGGAGACAGGUGCUGCAUGGCUGUCGUCAGCUCGUGCCGCGAGGUGUUCGGUUAAGUCCGCAAACGAGCGCAACCCCUGGGGUUAGUUACAAGUGUCUAGCCCGACUGCCCGUGAGAAACGGGAGGAAGGUGGGGAUGACGUCAAGUCAGCAUGGCCUUUAUAUCUGGGGCGACACACACGCUACAAUGGCGCGUACAAUGGGCAGCGAAGGGGCGACCUGGAGCGAAUCUCGGAAAGCGCGUCGUAGUUCGGAUUGCAGGCUGCAACUCGCCUGCAUGAAGUCGGAGUUGCUAGUAACCGUGGAUCAGCCACGCUACGGUGAUACGUUCCCGGGCCUUGUACACACCGCCCGUCACGUCAUGGGAGCUGGUCAUGCCUGAAGUCGGGAAGCUAACC
Molecule: ribosomal RNA, 1360 nt
Filed under: uncultured organism
Description: bacterial SSU rRNA
Rfam family: Bacterial small subunit ribosomal RNA
Source: RNAcentral